Molecule: transfer RNA, 73 nt
Filed under: Stegodyphus mimosarum
Lineage: Eukaryota; Metazoa; Arthropoda; Arachnida; Araneae; Eresidae
Rfam family: tRNA
About the family: Transfer RNA (tRNA) molecules are approximately 80 nucleotides in length. Their secondary structure includes four short double-helical elements and three loops (D, anti-codon, and T loops).
Source: Rfam by way of RNAcentral
GUCUUCGAGGUGUAGUGGUCAGCACGCUCGACAGAUAACCUAGAGGUCCGUGGUUCGAUUCCCAGCGAAGGCG